GGCUCCUUGGUCAAGCGGUUAAGACACCGCCCUUUCACGUCGGUAACACGGGUUCGAGUCCAGUAGGAGUCA
This 72-nucleotide transfer RNA is filed under the name Staphylococcus sp. 7810. RNAcentral's name for it is "tRNA-Glu". It matches the Rfam family "tRNA". Rfam says of the family: Transfer RNA (tRNA) molecules are approximately 80 nucleotides in length. Lineage: Bacteria; Bacillati; Bacillota; Bacilli; Caryophanales; Staphylococcaceae. The record is from RNAcentral.